Leopardus geoffroyi (Geoffroy's cat) is the source of this 1040-nucleotide long non-coding RNA. RefSeq lists it as uncharacterized. Lineage: Eukaryota; Metazoa; Chordata; Mammalia; Carnivora; Felidae. The transcript is spliced from 3 exons. The record is from RefSeq and is a predicted model, not a curated record.
GAAGUGGGCGAAAAAAAGGUCCGAGAGCCGUACCUGGACUUGCUUCAUUCUCAGGCUGGGGAUGGGUUCUCGGGGGACGUGAAGCUUAAUGGUUGGUGUAAGGUUUAAAAUGGAGAGAAGAUAAGAUGGAAUGGAGGAGAGAAUCAGCUCACAAUUUACAGAAGGCAAGAGAAUCUUCACAAAGUGAAGUGAAGUUCCACUGCAAGAAAAAUUAUGCUGGGAAUCUGGUCAGAGUAGUUCCCAGAUGGCCAUGGUACUGGGUAACAGCCUCAAGCUGGGCUCAUUUUGCAAGCUGGUGGAAUAACUCCUAGGAAAUCAAAGACUUCCAGUAAGACUUCUGGCACAAAAAAAGAACCUGCUUCCAUGCCCCAAAUUGCAGUGCAGGACUCUGAUCCCUGUGUGAAAAGGAAUCAAUUGACCGCUUUCAACUUGGAGGCACAUUCUGAACCCGGGAGCCAGAGAGAGCGUUCCAUGUAGAAAGAAGAUGAGUUGAGGGGACAGAGAUGAAGUUUGGGGGAGGAUGAGGUACUUGGAAGUUGUGGGGCAGAGUUCCAAAGAGAAGGAAAAGCUCCAUCAAUCUGCACAGAUAUCCUUUUGAGGUUUUGUUGAAUACUAAGAUGUGAGUGUGUAGGGUGGAAGGCAUCAUAAGAUAAGGCAACGAAUAACCAGAAACAUGUAAGAAUUCUCAGUGGAAAUAUCUGAGAUUCAACUAGCCAGAAGAGUCUUCCUUGAUCACUGGGGGUAUUCAGUAGAGAAUGCAAAAAAGUCAUACCUUAGUAGUGGGGCUAAAUUACCAUGAGUGAAAAGUAUUGUACACCUGCAAUGACAAAGUUUAAAUACAAGUCUCAAAAUAUGAAGCUGAUCUGCAAGAACCUUAACUUGCCUUAACUUGCAGAAGGACACACACACUUGAAAAGAAAACUGCAAAAUCCAGAUACUCAACAAUAUGAAAUUCAUAAUGUCCUGCAUCCAGUAAUAAAAAAAAAAAAUUACUACACAGGAUCCCAAAUAGGAAAAUGUGACUGAUAACCAGGGAAAAA